AGGCCGCGCUCUCGUCGGCAGCGGCGCGUUUCCCUGCGCGUCCCGCCGGUGGCCGGCGGGGCUGCGGCUCGGCUGCAUCCUUCAGGGAAGAAAGCCCCAGUCCCGGGACGGGUUUCUCCGCGCCGGCCGCUGCUGUGCGGCUCUGUGGCCACAGGGGUGUGGCUGAAAAGGAAGCUGGAAGGGCAGAGGCAGACUGCGCUUCCUGCGCUCAGAAGCAGGUGUGCCCUCUCAGCAGCAACAGCAUGUGGUCGAGUGCAGCUUGAUCUGUACGAAGAGUCAAGAUUCAGUGUUCUAUAACCAGCUCCUCGGUACAAGUGUGCUGCAUGACUUCAAACAGAGCACAAGAUACCACACCUGCCUAACUCUGAAGAGUGGGAUUGCCCCGUUCCUGUUGAUGCAUGCUCAUAAUCUGGACUCCAGCAGGACUGAGAGACACAUCUUGUCAGGCAACGGUAUAACAGAGGAUCCAAGGUGUCUUCUUCCCUUCAAUAUGGCCUGGGAGAAACCACCUUGUACCACUCUACAGCUGAUACUUCUUAGCUUGACAACCAUACCUCAGAGGGGUACAGGUGAGGCAGUCUUGUGCUCUGGAGGUCUUUACUCCUUAUGUAGC
Molecule: long non-coding RNA, 613 nt
Organism: Dryobates pubescens (Downy woodpecker)
Lineage: Eukaryota; Metazoa; Chordata; Aves; Piciformes; Picidae
Exons: 5
Source: RefSeq, a predicted model, not a curated record